GACGAACGCUGGCGGCGUGCUUAACACAUGCAAGUCGAACGGUGAAGCGCCUUCCUUUUUGGUGGGUGUGGAUGAGUGGCGAACGGGUGAGUAACACGUGAGUAACCUGCCCCCUUCUUCUGGAUAACCGCAUGAAAGUGUGGCUAAUACGGGAUAUUCUGGGUCUGUCGCAUGAUGGGUCUGGGAAAGAUAUUGUUUCGGUGGGGGAUGGGCUCGCGGCCUAUCAGCUUGUUGGUGGGGUGAUGGCCUACCAAGGCGGUGACGGGUAGCCGGCCUGAGAGGGUGGACGGUCACACUGGGACUGAGACACGGCCCAGACUCCUACGGGAGGCAGCAGUGGGGAAUAUUGCACAAUGGGCGCAAGCCUGAUGCAGCGACGCCUCGUGAGGGAUGGAGGCCUUCGGGUUGUGAACCUCUUUCGCCAGUGAAGCAGGCCUGCCUCGUUUGUGGGUGGGUUGACGGUAGCUGGAUAAGAAGCGCCGGCUAACUACGUG
This 494-nucleotide ribosomal RNA is filed under the name uncultured bacterium. Its description in RNAcentral is "partial 16S ribosomal RNA". It matches the Rfam family "Bacterial small subunit ribosomal RNA", at positions 28 to 507 of the family's 1533-position model. The record is from RNAcentral.